This 465-nucleotide ribosomal RNA is filed under the name uncultured bacterium. Its description in RNAcentral is "bacterial SSU rRNA". It matches the Rfam family "Bacterial small subunit ribosomal RNA", at positions 338 to 795 of the family's 1533-position model. The record is from RNAcentral.
CCUACGGGUUGCACCAGUGGGGAAUAUUGCACAAUGGGCGCAAGCCUGAUGCAGCCAUGCCGCGUGUAUGAAGAAGGCCUUCGGGUUGUAGAGAACUCUCAGCGGGGAGGAAGGAGUUGUGGUUAAUAACCACAGCAAUUGACGUUACCCGCAGAAGAGGCACCGGCUAACUCCGUGCCAGCAGCCGCGGUAAUACGGAGGGUGCAAGCGUUAAUCGGAAUUACUGGGCGUAAAGCGCACGCAGGCGGUCUGUCAAGUCGGAUGUGAAAUCCCCGGGCUCAACCUGGGAACUGCAUUCGAAACUGGCAGGCUAGAGUCUUGUAGAGGGGGGUAGAAUUCCAGGUGUAGCGGUGAAAUGCGUAGAGAUCUGGAGGAAUACCGGUGGCGAAGGCGGCCCCCUGGACAAAGACUGACGCUUAGGUGCGAAAGCGUGGGGAGCAAACAGGAUUAGAUACCCUUGUAGUC